Molecule: ribosomal RNA, 474 nt
Filed under: uncultured bacterium
Lineage: Bacteria
Description: bacterial SSU rRNA
Rfam family: Bacterial small subunit ribosomal RNA
Source: RNAcentral
GACGACGCUGGGCGGCGUGCCUAACACAUGCAAGUCGAGCGGGUUGAGGCGAGAGGUAACUCGAACUUCUACCUAGCGGCGGACGGGUGAGUAACGCGUGGGCAACCUGCCUCAAGGUUUGGGAUAACAGCCCGAAAGGGCUGCUAAUACCGGAUAUGCCUAUGGCCUCGCAUGGGGCUAUGAGCAAAGGGGAAACCCGCCUUGAGAUGGGCCCGCGUCCCAUCAGCUAGUUGGUGAGGUAACAGCUCACCAAGGCGACGACGGGUAGCCGGCCUGAGAGGGUGACCGGCCACACUGGGACUGAGACACGGCCCAGACUCCUACGGGGGGCAGCAGUGGGGGAUCUUGCACAAUGGGCGAAAGCCUGAUGCAGCGACGCCGCGUGAGCGAAGAAGGCCUUCGGGUUGUAAAGCUCUGUCUGGAGGGACGAACAAAAUGACGGUACCUCCGGAGGAAGCCACGGCUAACUACGUG